This 255-nucleotide ribosomal RNA is filed under the name uncultured bacterium. Its description in RNAcentral is "partial 16S ribosomal RNA". It matches the Rfam family "Bacterial small subunit ribosomal RNA", at positions 524 to 776 of the family's 1533-position model. The record is from RNAcentral.
UACAGAGGCCUCAAGCGUUACCCGGAAUCACUGGGCGUAAAGGGUGUGUAGGUGGCAAUGUUAGUCUUUCGUGAAAGCUUUCCGGCUUAACCGGGAAAACGCGGGGGAAACGGCAUAGCUAAGAGGGUGUGAGAGGUGCACGGAACUCAUGGUGUAGGGGUGAAAUCCGUUGAUAUCAUGGGGAACACCAAAUGCGAAGGCAGUGCACUGGCACAUUUCUGACACUGAAACACGAAAGCGUGGGUAGCGAACGGG